RNAcentral lists this ribosomal RNA (492 nucleotides) under uncultured bacterium. Its description in RNAcentral is "partial 16S ribosomal RNA". It matches the Rfam family "Bacterial small subunit ribosomal RNA", at positions 30 to 507 of the family's 1533-position model. The record is from RNAcentral.
AUUGAACGCUGGCGGCAUGCUUUACACAUGCAAGUCGAACGGUAACAGGCCUCCGGCUCCUGACUAGUGGCGAACGGGUGAGUAUUGCAUCUGAACGUGUCCCGGGUAGGGGGGUAUCGCAUCGAAAGCUGUGCUAUUAUCGCACGUGAUUUGAGAAUGAGAGCGGGGGGCCACUCCGGAACUUUUGCCCUCGCGCCUCUCUAGCUCCCAAUGUCUGAUUAGUUAGUUGGUGGGGUAAAGGCCUACCAAGCCGACGAUCUGUAGCUGGUCUGAGAGGACGACCAGCCACACUGGGACUGAGACACGGCCCAGACUCCUAAGGGAGGCAGCAGUGGGGAAUUUUGGACAAUGGGCGAAAGCCUGAUCCAGCAAUGCCGCGUGAGGGAAGAAGGCCUUCGGAUUGUAAACCGCUUUUGUACGGGACGAAAAGGAUCUGGCUAAUACCUGGGGCUGAUGACGGUACCAUAAGAAUAAGCACCGGCUAACUACGUG